AAAUUACCCGAGUUAAUUUUAUAUUUUAAGCAAAAACAUCUCUAGUAGAUUUGCAUCCAUGGCCUGAGGACCUAGAGGCGCAAAGUCUGAAGGGUUGAUCAAUGAGAGUGCUCUGCGUUGUUGUGAAGAUGACCGUUGAGUUCUAUUUUCAAAUAUUCUGGACUGCUUUAUUUUUUCGAUGAAAUGUAGUAUGUUCCUGGGAGGAUCUUGGCGGUGAUGGCGUUCAAACCGGUCCUAUAGGCUCAGGGCACAGGCCAGGUAUGUCUCUCCACAGCCUUGAUGGCAGGCACAGCUUGGAUGGAAUUUAGACUUCCGGAGAGAUUCCAAAAUCAUAGAGACGUGCUAAAGCUACUAAGGUAACACGGAAGCUACUACAAGGAAGAAGAGAUGGAAUUCUCUUUGUAACAGGUUGUUGGAUCGUCACCUUCUACCUUCUAACUGUCGCCCAAGUCCGAGGGAGACCAUAAAAAGCCAUGCACACCUUUCCCAGAGUCACUAUAAAAUUGACGCACAUCCUUCCUUCUCUUCUCGACUGCCAGGCAAUUAAAUCAACUUUAUUUUUGGGUAAACUUUGAAUAUACAAACACUUUUGGUCCCUGUUCCAACCAGAUUAACGCUCCAAUCUCACAGCCACCUAUCCGAUUGAGAUGAGGCAGAGAUUAAUGU
Molecule: long non-coding RNA, 666 nt
Filed under: Selaginella moellendorffii
Lineage: Eukaryota; Viridiplantae; Streptophyta; Lycopodiopsida; Selaginellales; Selaginellaceae
Description: long non-coding RNA (SMOE_LNC002461)
Source: RNAcentral